CCGCGUGAGUGAAGAAGGGUUUCGGCUCGUAAAACUCUGUUGUUAAAGAAGAACAUAUCUGAGAGUAACUGUUCAGGUAUUGACGGUAUUUAACCAGAAAGCCACGGCUAACUACGUGCCAGCAGCCGCGGUAAUACGUAGGUGGCAAGCGUUGUCCGGAUUUAUUGGGCGUAAAGCGAGCGCAGGCGGUUUUUUAAGUCUGAUGUGAAAGCCUUCGGCUCAACCGAAGAAGUGCAUCGGAAACUGGGAAACUUGAGUGCAGAAGAGGACAGUGGAACUCCAUGUGUAGCGGUGAAAUGCGUAGAUAUAUGGAAGAACACCAGUGGCGAAGGCGGCUGUCUGGUCUGUAACUGACGCUGAGGCUCGAAAGUAUGGGUAGCAAACAGGAUUAGAUACCCUGGUAGUCCAUACCGUAAACGAUGAAUGCUAAGUGUUGGAGGGUUUCCGCCCUUCAGUGCUGCAGCUAACGCAUUAAGCAUUCCGCC
This 485-nucleotide ribosomal RNA is filed under the name Lactiplantibacillus plantarum. Its description in RNAcentral is "bacterial SSU rRNA". It matches the Rfam family "Bacterial small subunit ribosomal RNA", at positions 397 to 873 of the family's 1533-position model. Lineage: Bacteria; Bacillati; Bacillota; Bacilli; Lactobacillales; Lactobacillaceae. The record is from RNAcentral.